Molecule: ribosomal RNA, 301 nt
Filed under: uncultured bacterium
Lineage: Bacteria
Description: partial 16S ribosomal RNA
Rfam family: Bacterial small subunit ribosomal RNA
Source: RNAcentral
CAGCAGCCGCGGGAAUACGUAGGUCCCGAGCGUUGUCCGGAUUUAUUGGGCGUAAAGCGAGCGCAGGCGGUUAGAUAAGUCUGAAGUUAAAGGCUGUGGCUUAACCAUAGUACGCUUUGGAAACUGUUUAACUUGAGUGCAAGAGGGGAGAGUGGAAUUCCAUGUGUAGCGGUGAAAUGCGUAGAUAUAUGGAGGAACACCGGUGGCGAAAGCGGCUCUCUGGCUUGUAACUGACGCUGAGGCUCGAAAGCGUGGGGAGCGAACAGGAUUAGAUACCCCCGUAGUCCCUGUCUCUUAUACA